AGUGAACGCUGGCGGCAGGCCUAAUACAUGCAAGUCGAACGGCAGCACAGUGGAGCUUGCUCCAUGGGUGGCGAGUGGCGGACGGGUGAGGAAUACAUGGGAAUCUGCCCAGUCGUGGGGGAUAACGUAGGGAAACUUACGCUAAUACCGCAUGCGCCCUUCGGGGAAAGCCGGGGACCGUAAGGCCUGGCGCGAUUGGAUGAGCCCAUGUCGGAUUAGCUAGUUGGCGGGGUAACGGCCCACCAAGGCGACGAUCCGUAGCUGGUCUGAGAGGAUGAUCAGCCACACUGGAACUGAGACACGGUCCAGACUCCUACGGGAGGCAGCAGUAGGGAAUAUUGGACAAUGGGCGCAAGCCUGAUCCAGCCGUGCCGCGUGAGUGAAGAAGGCCUGGUGUAA
This 399-nucleotide ribosomal RNA is filed under the name uncultured bacterium. RNAcentral describes it as "bacterial SSU rRNA". It matches the Rfam family "Bacterial small subunit ribosomal RNA", at positions 30 to 428 of the family's 1533-position model. The record is from RNAcentral.